AGAAGUGUGUUCUAACAAAACAAAGGUAAUAAGCAAAUAUUUAAUAUUGCUUUCCUCUCUCAGCUUUCUCUCAUCUUAAAGUGAGCAAAUAUGAUCAGUAAUAAAACUCUUGGGUAUUACCAUUUACAACGUGCCCUGGCAUAUAUUCUUACUUGAUCCCCAAUUGACACGAGGAAACCGAUUCAGAGAAGUCAUUUGCAAAAAGAUACACAGCUAGUGAGUGGCAAGGCUGGGCACAAAUCUAGGUCUUCCCAUUCUAGAUCGAGUCACUAUGUCCUGUUGAUGUAGUUCUGCCUAUAGACCUUUGAUUUUGUUCCUUCAAAGUUCGAACUAGGUUUCAGCAUAACUCUUUCAGUAUAGAAAUGUCAUAGACCAUGUUGCCUAAUUUGUCUAAAGGAUUAAGGAGAAAGGAAGAAAAGGAUCGCAUGAAAACGUCUACCUAAAUAAAAGGAAGGGCACACACCUCCUAAAGGCAGCAACCUCUGGGGAGGGAGUGUCCAGGUUGUAGGAAUAGUGGUCAAAAUGGACUUUGGCCUAAUCUGUAAAUUGUUAUUUUUUUAAAUAAGAAGAAUGUAUUCAUGUAUUAUUUGUACAAUUUUAUAAUAAUUUUUAAAACCUACUUAGAAGUCUAGGAUUUGCUGUAAAAUAAUCCAGCUUUGGCAGUGGAGGAGGGGUGAGAAGGUGAAAAGAGGGAAACAUACAACAUCGACCACAUACAGAUAAUUACUGAAGCUAUGUGAGAGACACAUGGGAUUGAGUCAUUAUACUGUUUUCUCUUCUUUCAUAUAGAUUUGAAAAUUUCCCUGAUAAAAAGAUUAAAAAGUCUUCCUAGACAGAGGAGAAAAGCUUCGUAAAUCUUUUUAAUAACCUAAUGUAACACUGAUGCUAAAAGAUGAUAAAGGAAAAAAAUGGUCUAUUCUAUGAACUGAUUUUUGGCACGUUGUCCUAAACCCCAAGAAAGUCCUCUAUUUGGAAUAAAGGAUAUCACAUAUCAAAGGAAGUAAGUACAGACUUCUCAAGGAGCCAGGUAACCGGACCUGGAUGGCUAGCCAGGAAUAUCCAGAACAAGGGAAAUCCUGUAGACUCGUGUGUGAAGCUGGACAAAGUAGGCCUCUAUAUCUACUAGAAACGUCAGUAUAUAAUUGCUAGACUCUAGGACGCCUUAUCUGAGAUCACAAUUUGCUGAUGUUAUGACUUCAUUGUGAGUAGGAGAACUGACCAGGAGCUGCCUGUGGCCAGAGCCACUUUGCAUUCAUCUAGGCACCCCCAGCAACUCUCAGGGUGUCUGGCCCACAGUCCUAUAUAAACACGUGCUUAACUAGAUGAAGAAAGAAGACAGUGGUGAGAAGAUCUGAGCCACAGCCAAAGCCCCAAGUCUGCUAGAAACAAUGGUCAAAGCAAGAGAGUGGGAUGUCAUUACAUGGCAAGGAGUUACAGUACCCGAACCCUCCUAUCUACAGUGGCUCAGUCAUUUCAGAAGCUGAAACAGUACUAUGCAGGAGGUGAAGAAUGGACAUUUGCCUGAAUCCUAAGAACAGUGCCCAGCUCUAGUGGUGAGCAUCGGCUGACUAAAUGAAUGAAUGAACUGAAAUACCUGGAAAUCUCUGAGGUACCAGAACCUAAAUGCUGAAGAUCUGCAAAGUAAGUAAUGAUCCUUACCCCAGGGAAAGUUAUGGUCUUGUGGGAGACACAGACUUAUAAAAUUACAGAACAUAGUAGGCACAGUAAAUGCUGUUAUUACCAAGCUGUGAACAAAGUCCUGUGAUAACUCAGAGGACUCAAACAACUAGCUCUGCCUAGGAAAGCUAAAAAUUCAGUGUGAAGUGAACCUUGACCAAGUCUUGCAGAACUCAGAGGUGGGGCCUGAGGAGUUACAGAAGUGAAGAAGGGCAUUCCAAGUGGAAGGAAGAGCCAGGCAAAGGCUCUUAGUCAAGACAGGGCCUGGUGGGUCUAAAAAA
Molecule: non-coding RNA, 1958 nt
Organism: Microcebus murinus (gray mouse lemur)
Lineage: Eukaryota; Metazoa; Chordata; Mammalia; Primates; Cheirogaleidae
Source: RefSeq, a predicted model, not a curated record